GCGGGACUAGUUAAGUGGUAUAAUAACAGUUUUCCAAACUGUGGUUGGGGGUUCGAUUCCCCCGUCCCGCA
This 71-nucleotide transfer RNA is filed under the name bacterium. RNAcentral's name for it is "tRNA-Gly". It matches the Rfam family "tRNA". From Rfam's summary of the family: Transfer RNA (tRNA) molecules are approximately 80 nucleotides in length. Their secondary structure includes four short double-helical elements and three loops (D, anti-codon, and T loops). The record is from RNAcentral.